RNAcentral lists this ribosomal RNA (492 nucleotides) under uncultured bacterium. RNAcentral describes it as "partial 16S ribosomal RNA". It matches the Rfam family "Bacterial small subunit ribosomal RNA", at positions 29 to 507 of the family's 1533-position model. The record is from RNAcentral.
AGUGAACGCUGGCGGUAGGCCUAACACAUGCAAGUCGAACGGCAGCACAGUAAGAGCUUGCUCUUACGGGUGGCGAGUGGCGGACGGGUGAGGAAUACAUCGGAAUCUACUUUUUCGUGGGGGAUAACGUAGGGAAACUUACGCUAAUACCGCAUACGACCUACGGGUGAAAGCAGGGGAUCUUCGGACCUUGCGCGAUUGAAUGAGCCGAUGUCGGAUUAGCUAGUUGGCGGGGUAAAGGCCCACCAAGGCGACGAUCCGUAGCUGGUCUGAGAGGAUGAUUAGCCACACUGGAACUGAGACACGGUCCAGACUCCGACGGGAGGAAGCAGUGGGGAAUAUUGGACAAUGGGCGCAAGCCUGAUCCAGCCAUACCGCGUGGGUGAAGAAGGCCUUCGGGUUGUAAAGCCCUUUUGUUGGGAAAGAAAAGCAGCAGGUUAAUACCCCGCUGUUCUGACGGUACCCAAAGAAUAAGCACCGGCUAACUUCGUG